This 745-nucleotide ribosomal RNA is filed under the name uncultured bacterium. Its description in RNAcentral is "bacterial SSU rRNA". It matches the Rfam family "Bacterial small subunit ribosomal RNA", at positions 758 to 1504 of the family's 1533-position model. The record is from RNAcentral.
AGCGUGGGUAGCGAACAGGAUUAGAUACCCUGGUAGUCCACGCCGUAAACGAUGACAACUAGCUGUUGGGAAGCUAUGCUUUUCAGUGGCGCAGCUAACGUCUUAAGUUGUCCGCCUGGGGAGUACGGCCGCAAGGUUAAAACUCAAAUGAAUUGACGGGGACCCGCACAAGCGGUGGAGCAUGUGGUUUAAUUCGAUGCAACGCGAAAAACCUUACCUACACUUGACAUACUUGGAAUCUUUUGUAAUGAAAGAGUGCCUUUUGGAGCCAAGAUACAGGUGCUGCAUGGCUGUCGUCAGCUCGUGUCGUGAGAUGUUGGGUUAAGUCCCAUAACGAGCGCAACCCUUACCCUUAUUUGCCAGCGAUUCGGUCGGGAACUAUAAGGGGACUGCCGGUGAUAAACCGGAGGAAGGUGAGGACGACGUCAAGUCAUCAUGGCCCUUACGUGUAGGGCUACACACGUGCUACAAUGGGGAGUACAGAUAGACGCUAAAGCGCGAGCUGGUGCUAAUCUCAUAAAACUCUUCGUAGUCCGGAUUGCAGUCUGCAACUCGACUGCAUGAAGUCGGAAUCGCUAGUAAUCGCGAAUCAGCAUGUCGCGGUGAAUACGUUCUCGGGUCUUGUACACACCGCCCGUCACACCAUGGGAGUGUAUUGCACCAGAAGUGGGUAGUCUAACCUUCGGGAGGGCGCUCACCACGGUGUGGUCCAUGACUGGGGUGAAGUCGUAACAAGGUAACCGUA